GUCUACGGCCAUACCACCCUGAACACACCCCAUCUCACAAGCUAAGCAGGUUCAGGCCUGCUUAGUACCUGGAUGGCUGGAUGAGAAUUUCCUGCUUUACUUA
RNAcentral lists this ribosomal RNA (103 nucleotides) under Erinaceus europaeus (western European hedgehog). Lineage: Eukaryota; Metazoa; Chordata; Mammalia; Eulipotyphla; Erinaceidae. The record is from RNAcentral.